This 237-nucleotide ribosomal RNA is filed under the name uncultured bacterium. Its description in RNAcentral is "partial 16S ribosomal RNA". It matches the Rfam family "Bacterial small subunit ribosomal RNA", at positions 100 to 334 of the family's 1533-position model. The record is from RNAcentral.
CGGGACGGGUGAGUAACGCGUGGGUAACCUGCCUCACACUGGGGGAGUAACAGUUAGAAAUAGCUGCUAAUACCGCAUAAGCGCACAGUUCCGCAUGGAACAGUGUGAAAAACUCCGGUGGUGUGAGAUGGACCCGCGUCUGAUUAGCCAGUUGGCGGGGUAACGGCCCACCAAAGCGACGAUCAGUAGCCGGCCUGAGAGGGUGAACGGCCACAUUGGGACUGAGACAUGGCCCAA